AAUAUUAUAAGUUAAAUAAAAACUAUAAAUUUUCAAAAUUUAAAAUAUCAGUAAGAUUAAUAUUU
Molecule: transfer RNA, 65 nt
Filed under: Didemnum perlucidum
Lineage: Eukaryota; Metazoa; Chordata; Ascidiacea; Aplousobranchia; Didemnidae
Description: tRNA-Trp
Source: RNAcentral